GUCUUAGCCUACGGGGCACCAGCCUUCUAGUGUGCCCCUGCCCAACGGGAGGGAGGAGGGAGCGGGGAGCCCCGGCGAGGGAGGAGAGGGCGGGCCCUGAGAGGAGUUUGAAAAGAGGAAGGAAGUGGGGCCCUGCGGCGCCCAGCCACCCCCUGACGGCUUCCCCACGGGAGGACGCGAGGCCCCGGCCCAGCCAUGGCCCCCUGGCGUAAAGCUGACAAGGAGCGGCACGGCGUGGCCAUAUACAACUUCCAAGGCAGCGGAGCCCCCCAGCUCUCCCUGCAGAUCGGCGAUGUGGUGCGAAUACAGGAGACGUGUGGAGACUGGUAUAGGGGAUACCUCAUAAAGCACAAAAUGUUACAGGGCGUUUUUCCUAAGUCAUUUAUCCACAUCAAGGAAGUGACAGUUGAGAAAAGAAGAAAUACUGAGAACAUCAUUCCUGCAGAAAUUCCUCUGGCACAAGAAGUGACAACGACACUUUGGGAAUGGGGAAGCAUCUGGAAACAACUCUAUGUGGCCAGCAAAAAGGAGCGUUUUCUCCAGGUGCAGUCCAUGAUGUACGAUCUGAUGGAGUGGAGGUCCCAGCUUCUCUCAGGAACCUUACCCAAGGAUGAGCUGAAGGAACUGAAGCAGAAAGUCACGUCCAAAAUUGACUAUGGCAACAAAAUCCUUGAGCUUGAUUUGAUUGUCAGAGAUGAAGACGGAAAUAUCUUGGACCCUGAUAAUACCAGUGUCAUCAGCUUGUUCCAUGCACAUGAGGAAGCAACUGAUAAAAUCACAGAGCGUAUCAAAGAAGAAAUGUCAAAAGACCAGCCAGAUUAUGCAAUGUAUUCCCGGAUCUCCUCAUCCCCCACCCAUAGCCUCUAUGUGUUUGUGAGAAACUUUGUGUGCAGAAUUGGGGAAGAUGCUGAGCUCUUCAUGUCUCUCUACGACCCCAACAAGCAAACGGUCAUAAGUGAGAACUACCUAGUGCGAUGGGGCAGCCGGGGCUUCCCUAAGGAGAUUGAGAUGCUCAACAAUCUGAAGGUGGUCUUCACGGAUCUUGGAAACAAAGACCUCAACAGGGAUAAAAUUUACUUGAUUUGUCAAAUAGUCCGGGUCGGCAAGAUGGAUCUUAAGGAUACUGGUGCAAAGAAGUGCACGCAGGGACUGAGGAGGCCCUUUGGGGUGGCAGUUAUGGAUAUAACAGACAUCAUCAAGGGGAAAGCAGAGAGUGAUGAAGAAAAGCAGCACUUCAUUCCUUUUCACCCGGUUACAGCUGAGAAUGACUUCCUACACAGCCUGCUGGGCAAAGUCAUAGCCUCCAAGGGGGACAGUGGAGGGCAAGGCCUCUGGGUGACCAUGAAGAUGCUGGUGGGUGACAUCAUUCAGAUUCGCAAGGACUAUCCACACCUGGUGGACAGGACCACCGUGGUGGCCAGGAAGCUGGGAUUCCCAGAGAUCAUCAUGCCAGGGGAUGUCAGGAACGACAUCUACAUUACUCUCUUACAAGGUGACUUUGACAAGUACAACAAGACCACACAGAGGAAUGUGGAAGUCAUCAUGUGUGUGUGCGCGGAGGAUGGCAAAACGCUGCCUAAUGCAAUUUGCGUGGGAGCAGGGGACAAGCCCAUGAAUGAGUAUCGCUCCGUUGUGUACUAUCAAGUCAAACAGCCACGCUGGAUGGAAACAGUCAAGGUGGCUGUCCCUAUUGAAGACAUGCAGAGGAUCCAUCUGCGAUUCAUGUUUCGACAUCGGUCAUCUCUGGAAUCUAAAGAUAAAGGAGAAAAGAACUUUGCCAUGUCCUAUGUGAAGCUGAUGAAAGAAGAUGGGACUACUCUACACGAUGGAUUCCAUGACUUAGUUGUCCUCAAGGGGGACAGCAAGAAGAUGGAGGAUGCCAGCGCAUACCUGACCCUUCCUUCUUAUCGACACCAUGUGGAAAACAAGGGGGCCACGCUGAGCAGGAGCUCCAGCAGUGUUGGGGGGCUUUCUGUCAGCUCCCGGGAUGUGUUCUCCAUUUCCACCCUGGUGUGCUCCACAAAGCUCACUCAGAAUGUGGGCUUGCUGGGUUUGCUGAAGUGGCGUAUGAAGCCUCAACUGCUACAGGAGAAUUUAGAAAAAUUGAAGAUUGUGGAUGGAGAGGAAGUGGUGAAGUUUCUCCAGGAUACUCUGGAUGCCCUCUUCAACAUCAUGAUGGAGCAUUCUCAAAGUGAUGAAUAUGACAUCCUCGUCUUUGAUGCCUUGAUUUACAUAAUAGGACUCAUUGCAGACCGGAAAUUUCAGCAUUUCAACACCGUUCUGGAGGCUUACAUCCAACAGCAUUUCAGUGCGACCUUGGCUUACAAGAAAUUGAUGACAGUGCUGAAGACUUACUUGGAUACCUCCAGCAGAGGGGAGCAAUGUGAGCCAAUCCUAAGAACGCUGAAGGCUUUGGAAUAUGUGUUCAAGUUCAUUGUUCGGUCGAGGACAUUAUUUUCACAGCUUUAUGAAGGCAAAGAACAGAUGGAGUUUGAAGAAUCCAUGAGACGGCUCUUUGAAUCCAUCAACAAUCUGAUGAAAAGUCAAUACAAAACUACCAUCCUUUUGCAGGUGGCGGCUUUGAAAUACAUCCCAUCUGUCCUGCAUGAUGUAGAAACGGUCUUUGAUGCGAAGUUACUCAGCCAACUCCUGUAUGAGUUCUACACCUGCAUCCCUCCUGUGAAACUCCAGAAGCAGAAAGUACAGUCUAUGAAUGAGAUAGUCCAGAGCAACCUCUUUAAAAAGCAAGAAUGCCGGGACAUUCUGCUUCCUGUCAUCACCAAAGAGCUGAAGGAGCUGCUGGAGCAGAAGGAUGACAUGCAACACCAGGUCCUGGAGAAGAAGUACUGCGUUGAAUUGCUCAACAGCAUCUUGGAAGUCCUUAGCUACCAGGAUGCGGCCUUCACCUACCACCAUAUCCAGGAGAUCAUGGUCCAGCUGCUGCGGACAGUGAACCGGACAGUCAUCACCAUGGGCCGGGAUCACAUUCUGAUUAGUCACUUUGUGGCAUGUAUGACAGCCAUCUUAAACCAGAUGGGUGACCAGCACUACUCCUUCUACAUUGAGACCUUCCAGACCAGCUCUGAACUUGUGGACUUCUUGAUGGAGACCUUCAUCAUGUUCAAGGACCUCAUUGGAAAGAACGUGUACCCUGGAGACUGGAUGGCCAUGAGCAUGGUUCAAAACAGGGUCUUCCUGAGAGCUAUCAACAAGUUUGCAGAAACCAUGAACCAGAAGUUCCUAGAACACACGAACUUUGAGUUCCAGCUGUGGAACAACUAUUUUCAUCUGGCAGUGGCUUUUAUCACCCAGGAUUCUCUGCAGCUGGAGCAGUUCUCACACGCCAAGUACAACAAAAUCCUGAAUAAGUAUGGGGACAUGAGACGGCUAAUUGGCUUCUCCAUCCGUGAUAUGUGGUACAAGCUUGGUCAGAACAAAAUCUGCUUCAUCCCAGGCAUGGUAGGACCUAUAUUAGAGAUGACACUUAUCCCUGAGGCUGAGCUCCGGAAAGCCACCAUACCAAUCUUCUUCGACAUGAUGCUGUGUGAAUAUCAAAGAAGUGGGGAUUUCAAAAAGUUUGAAAACGAAAUCAUCCUGAAGCUGGACCACGAGGUAGAAGGGGGCCGAGGCGACGAGCAGUACAUGCAGCUGCUGGAGUCAAUCCUGAUGGAGUGUGCUGCAGAGCACCCAACCAUUGCCAAGUCGGUGGAGAACUUCGUGAACCUGGUCAAAGGCCUCCUGGAGAAGCUGCUGGAUUACCGGGGUGUGAUGACAGAUGAGAGCAAAGACAACCGCAUGAGCUGCACUGUGAACCUGCUGAAUUUCUACAAAGAUAACAACAGGGAGGAGAUGUACAUAAGGUACCUGUACAAACUCCGCGAUCUUCACCUGGACUGUGACAAUUACACAGAGGCUGCCUACACGCUCCUUCUCCACACCUGGCUUCUCAAGUGGUCGGAUGAGCAGUGUGCAUCACAGGUCAUGCAGACAGGCCAGCAGCACCCCCAGACACACCGGCAGCUCAAGGAGACGCUCUACGAGACCAUCAUAGGCUACUUUGACAAAGGAAAGAUGUGGGAAGAGGCCAUAAGUCUGUGCAAGGAGCUGGCGGAACAGUACGAGAUGGAGAUCUUUGACUAUGAGCUGCUCAGCCAGAACCUGAUCCAGCAGGCAAAAUUCUAUGAAAGCAUCAUGAAAAUCCUCAGGCCCAAACCAGACUACUUUGCUGUUGGAUACUACGGCCAGGGAUUCCCCUCCUUCCUGCGGAACAAAGUGUUCAUCUACCGCGGGAAGGAAUAUGAGCGAAGAGAAGAUUUCCAGAUGCAGCUGAUGACCCAGUUCCCCAAUGCAGAGAAGAUGAACACCACCUCUGCCCCGGGAGAUGAUGUGAAGAAUGCCCCAGGCCAGUAUAUCCAGUGCUUCACUGUCCAGCCUGUCUUGGAUGAACAUCCCAGGUUCAAGAAUAAGCCAGUGCCUGACCAGAUUAUAAAGAAAGCCUGUGCAAAAGCCACUCUUAUGGAGCCCAGAACACAGACCCUGAUUUUAAAUGCACCACAAGGGACUCUGCCAGGCCUGAAGUUUACUGUAAUGAACCUCCCUGGACAGUGCAGGGUCAGAUCGGGUGUCAGCAGCCGGGGAUGGCUACCAGGAGCCUCAGCCUCUUCCUGUCUUUCAGCUUCUACAAAUCCAACUACGUGCAAAGGUUCCACUACUCCCGGCCCGUGCGCAGGGGGACCGUAGACCCAGAGAAUGAGUUUGCUUCCAUGUGGAUUGAGAGAACCUCCUUCGUGACUGCAUACAAGCUGCCGGGGAUCCUGCGCUGGUUUGAGGUGGUGCACAUGUCGCAGACCACAAUUAGUCCUCUGGAGAAUGCCAUAGAAACCAUGUCCACGGCCAAUGAGAAGAUCCUGAUGAUGAUCAACCAGUACCAGAGUGAUGAGACCCUCCCCAUCAACCCACUCUCCAUGCUCCUGAAUGGGAUUGUGGACCCUGCUGUCAUGGGAGGCUUCGCCAAGUAUGAGAAGGCCUUCUUCACUGAAGAGUAUGUCAGGGACCACCCUGAGGACCAGGACAAGCUGACCCACCUCAAGGACCUGAUUGCAUGGCAGAUCCCCUUCUUAGGAGCUGGGAUUAAGAUCCAUGAGAAAAGGGUGUCAGAUAACUUGCGACCCUUCCAUGACCGGAUGGAGGAAUGUUUCAAGAACCUGAAAAUGAAGGUGGAGAAGGAGUACGGUGUCCGAGAGAUGCCUGACUUUGACGACAGGAGAGUGGGCCGCCCCAGGUCUAUGCUGCGCUCAUACAGACAGAUGUCCAUCAUCUCUCUGGCUUCCAUGAAUUCUGACUGCAGCACCCCCAGCAAGCCCAACUCAGAGAGCUUUGACCUGGAAUUAGCAUCACCCAAGACGCCGAGAGUGGAGCAGGAGGAACCGAUCUCCCCGGGGAGCACCCUGCCUGAGGUCAAGCUGCGGAGGUCCAAGAAGAGGACAAAGAGAAGCAGCGUAGUGUUUGCGGAUGAGAAAGCAGCUGCAGAGUCGGACCUGAAGCGGCUUUCCAGGAAGCAUGAGUUCAUGAGUGACACCAACCUCUCGGAGCAUGCGGCCAUCCCCCUCAAGGCGUCUGUCCUCUCUCAAAUGAGCUUUGCCAGCCAGUCCAUGCCUACCAUCCCAGCCCUGGCGCUCUCAGUGGCAGGCAUCCCUGGGUUGGAUGAGGCCAACACAUCUCCCCGCCUCAGCCAGACCUUCCUCCAACUCUCAGAUGGUGACAAGAAGACACUCACACGGAAGAAGGUCAAUCAGUUCUUCAAGACAAUGCUGGCCAGCAAAUCGGCUGAAGAAGGCAAACAGAUCCCAGACUCGCUGUCCACGGACCUGUGAGCUGCUGCUGACUAGGGCUGCAUGGGAGAGCCAGGGAGGGGAGUUUCUGGAAGAGGAAAGCCAUGCGUGGAACAUCGAAGCCUCAGAGAGUGGGAGACUGUCCCCAUCAGUUGUCCUUACUUAGAGGAGACAGAGAGGCCAAUCAGGUCCCAGAGCUUGAGUGCUAACAAGCCCAGCAUCCCCUGGGGCUGUGAUCAUGGUGGAUGAGGAAGCCUCAAUGUAGAUUCCUGAACUCAAGGUACCAGCAAGAAUGCCUUCUCCCAGUGUGCUCUCCCCAACAUCCUAGGCACAGCUUUCAUAACCCAGUUUCUUAGGUGUAAGAAACUGUUUUUAUCUCAUUUAUUAAGUCUCAGAACUUAACAGAAAAGGAAGCCUUUUAAAUAUUCUUUUUAAUUUUAUUUUAGAUUAACAGUUUUGUACUUUACAUUUUUUUAUACAACCAACCAGUUUCUUUUCUAGCCAAUCAUCUCUGAAGAGUUGCUGUUUCCUACUGACAAUAAAAAAUGUUCUCUUGGUUCGAA
Molecule: RNA transcript, 6394 nt
Organism: Pan troglodytes (chimpanzee)
Lineage: Eukaryota; Metazoa; Chordata; Mammalia; Primates; Hominidae
Gene: DOCK2
Gene name: dedicator of cytokinesis 2
Exons: 52
Source: RefSeq, a predicted model, not a curated record